RNAcentral lists this ribosomal RNA (446 nucleotides) under uncultured bacterium. RNAcentral's name for it is "bacterial SSU rRNA". It matches the Rfam family "Bacterial small subunit ribosomal RNA", at positions 330 to 792 of the family's 1533-position model. The record is from RNAcentral.
UCCAGACUCCUACGGGAGGCAGCAGUGGGGGAUAUUGCACAAUGGGGGGAACCCUGAUGCAGCGACGCCGCGUGGGUGAAGGAGUGCUUCGGCAUGUAAAGCCCUAUCGGCAGGGAAGAAGCAAGACGGUACCUGACUAAGAAGCCCCGGCUAACUACGUGCCAGCAGCCGCGGUAAUACGUAGGGGGCGAGCGUUAUCCGGAUUCACUGGGUGUAAAGGGAGCGUAGACGGCCAUGCAAGCCAGGGGUGAAAGCCCGGGGCCCAACCCCGGGACUGCCCUUGGAACUGCAUGGCUGGAGUGCGGGAGGGGCAGACGGAAUUCCUAGUGUAGCGGUGAAAUGCGUAGAUAUUAGGAGGAACACCAGUGGCGAAGGCGGUCUGCUGGACAGCAACUGACGCUGAGGCGCGAAAGCGUGGGGAGCAAACAGGAUUAGAUACCCCUGUA